GGCUGAUUUCGCUCAGGCGGAGCUCGACCACCCCUUCAAGCGAUGAAGGAAUUUAUUGACCGGCACCGCGACGCUUAUAGAGUCGAGCCGAUCUGCAAGUGUGUUCUGCGCAAGCGGAAACCGAUUGCUUUU
Regulatory RNA element from Methylomicrobium album BG8, 132 nucleotides. It matches the Rfam family "ALIL pseudoknot". The record is from Rfam. NCBI's taxonomy places the organism in Bacteria, Pseudomonadati, Pseudomonadota, Gammaproteobacteria, Methylococcales, Methylococcaceae.